AUUGAACGCUGGCGGCAGGCCUAACACAUGCAAGUCGAGCGAGCGGCGGACGGGUGAGUAAUGUCUGGGAAACUGCCUGAUGGAGGGGGAUAACUACUGGAAACGGUAGCUAAUACCGCAUACCAUCAGAUGUGCCCAGAUGGGAUUGGCUGGUAGGUGGGGUAACGGCUAACAUAGGCGACGAUCCCUAGCUGGUCUGAGAGGAUUACCAGCCACACGGGAACUGCGACACGGUCCAGACUCUAACGGGAGGAAGAAGUGGGGAAUAUUGCACAAGGGGCGAAAGCCUGAUGCAGCCAUGCCGCGUGUAUGAAGAAGGCCUUCGGGUUGUAAAGUACUUUCAGCGGGGAGGCGUUACCCGCAGAGGAAGCAACGGCUAACUCCGUGCCAGCCGCCGCGGUAAUUC
This 406-nucleotide ribosomal RNA is filed under the name uncultured bacterium. RNAcentral describes it as "partial 16S ribosomal RNA". It matches the Rfam family "Bacterial small subunit ribosomal RNA", at positions 30 to 526 of the family's 1533-position model. The record is from RNAcentral.